AAUAGGAGAAAAAGAAUAGUGUGUACCCCCUCCCCAUGGCGCUUCUCAAGAACAACCCAGGGGUUUUGUGCUUGGCGGCCCUUCUUGUGAUAUCCGCCACCUUCUUAUCAUGUGAUGCAUCCUACGGGAUCAGAGGUAUAUUUCUUUCAUUCUAUUCAUAUUUAUUUUUGCUCUAUACAACUGCCUGGAACAUUUUUCCGAUGAUCAAACAAAUGCAAGUGAUUGUGUUAUGUCUCUCUCGAUAUAGUAUAAUAUACCUACAACUUUGUUCUGUGUGGGUUGGGACCAAGGCUGCAAGGACCCGGUGAAUGGAAUCCCUAGUCAGUGUCAGAUUUACUGCAGAGAUAACGGUUUUGUCUUAGAGAAAGGCAAAUGUGCACCGGACAGUGGAAAGCCCAACCGCAUGUGCUGCUGCUAUAAGUAGACACUUGCGUGUGAAUUCGUGGAAGAGUGCAAAACUUUUUCUGUAUGAGAGAUCUCAAAAAAUAAAUUAAUAAAACAUUGUUUGAUC
RNAcentral lists this long non-coding RNA (511 nucleotides) under Triticum aestivum (bread wheat). Its description in RNAcentral is "long non-coding RNA (TAES_LNC019666)". The record is from RNAcentral. Lineage: Eukaryota; Viridiplantae; Streptophyta; Magnoliopsida; Poales; Poaceae.